RNAcentral lists this ribosomal RNA (240 nucleotides) under uncultured bacterium. RNAcentral describes it as "partial 16S ribosomal RNA". It matches the Rfam family "Bacterial small subunit ribosomal RNA", at positions 524 to 761 of the family's 1533-position model. The record is from RNAcentral.
GACAGAGGGUGCGAACGUUGUUCGGAAUUACUGGGCGUAAAGCGCAUGUAGGCGGCAGCGCAAGUCGGGCGUGAAAUCCCACGGCUCAACCGUGGAAGUGCACUCGAAACUGCGCAGCUAGAGUCCUGGAGAGGAAGGUGGAAUGCUUGGUGUAGAGGUGAAAUUCGUAGACAUCAAGCGGAACACCGGUGGCGAAGGCGGCCCUUCUGGACAGUGACGUGACGCUGAGAUGCGAAAGCG